ACAUUCACACACACAGCUACACACAUACUCUAACACCGACAUCCAGACAUACUCUAACACUCUCUCACCCCUACACACUCACACACCUAACGCAUACACACAUGCUUUUGCUCACACAGUGACAGACAUAUUCACACUUACACACCUAUACACACCCGCACACUAACACUGGUCACACUCUACCACACAUACACACACACUCCGCUCACACCCUCACAUUCUCACACACACUCCCUCACACACCCUCACAUUCUCACACACAUGCCCUCACACACCCUCACAUUCUCACACGCCCUCACACACCCUCACAUUCUCACACGCCCUCACACACCCUCACAUUCUCACACACACUCCCUCACACACCCUCACAUUCUCAGACACACGCCCUCACCCUCACAUUCUCACACUCACACACCCUCACAUCCUCUCACACACUCCCUCACACACCCUCACAUUCUCACACUCAUGCCCUCACGCUCGCAUCUCACUCUCACACACGCCCUCCACACCCUCACAUUCUCACACUUACACACACUUGCUCUCACAUUCUCACACUCACAUGCCCUCACACACCCUUGCAUUCUCACACACGUCCUCACAUAUAUGUCCUCACACAUUCUCAAAAACACACGACCUCACACACCC
This 645-nucleotide long non-coding RNA is filed under the name Homo sapiens (human). Its description in RNAcentral is "HSALNT0197277". The record is from RNAcentral. Lineage: Eukaryota; Metazoa; Chordata; Mammalia; Primates; Hominidae.